Molecule: long non-coding RNA, 3035 nt
Organism: Spinacia oleracea (spinach)
Lineage: Eukaryota; Viridiplantae; Streptophyta; Magnoliopsida; Caryophyllales; Amaranthaceae
Exons: 6
Source: RefSeq, a predicted model, not a curated record
AAUAAAUAAAACUCUCCCCUCCUAAUUCCUGGGAAGCGCAUGUUUUGUGUUUUCUCGCUGCUUCCCCUUUAAUUUGUUGCUGGUGCUCGUGGUCCCCUUUGUUCUUGCUGCUCCAGCGCAGUCGCGUACUACUCUUCUUCUGCACCGUUUUUCUUCAAAUCAGUGAUGAAUUCGGCGAGUACUUUGUCGCCGACUCCGAUUAUGCGUUUCAAGUUCGGAGCAUACCUUUGAAACGAGGGAGAUAUAUUCCAAUUUCUUCAGUCUGUCGCCUUUGCUUUCCUCAACUGCCGCCAUUGCUGCUGCUGCUUCAAGAAUCUAUUUUCAUCGACGGUCUCACACUUUGUUUGUGGGAUUUCGAAAGUGAAAAUUGAAAACCCUUGUCAAUUUUUAAGCUCUUGUGGCUCUGUCAUAUUUGAACCUUAGCAGAUGUGGCCUGUCUGAUCAUGGUUUUGAUAAGCUCUUCGGACUUAAGAAUUUGAAGGUGUUCAAUCUGGCCUUUAACAACAUAACAAAUACAUAUAUGUUUGGUUUAUCUCAAAGGGUAAGGCGGUAGUAUUUUUGACGGGUCCGUCACCGGGACUAAUGUGGAGUAGCAGGAAGGGAAGUUGAUUGUCCAGAAAUGGAGGUUUUGGGAAUUGGCCUGAUGGCGUUUUCUCUACGAUGCAUUGGCUACCCUUGGCCGUAUUUUGAAUAGUCGAAUGCCACGAAGAAAUUACAGGUGAAGGAUAGCAUGAGGUAACCUGUUUCUUAAGCUGAAUAGCUGUUAGUCUUAUAUCCUUAAGUUGAAAUAAGUUUUGUAGCAAAUUCUUUAUUGCUUAAGUGAUCUUUUUGUUACUGAGGUUAAUCCUUAGCGUUGCCAUUUGGUUCAUUUGUUAGAUUAGAUUUAGCUCAUGAAAAAUGACAUGCAGCUGGAAUGAAGGAAAUCCUGAGGCUUUGCUGGUGAAAUGUAAAUUUAUUGUUCAAGAGUCAACCUUUAUUCAUUUUAGUUCUUUGAAAAUGGUUUGUUUCUCACACAUGAUGUUGGAAUAUGGACAUUUUCUGCAUUUUUUCUUCUGUUUGCAAUGCCGGCAUUGAACUCCUGGAAAUUAUCUUUGAUUAUACUCCAGAUGAUCUUUGUGUUCAUUAUACACAGGGAAACACAUGGUUUACAGUAAUAGAAAAACAAGUGUUUAAUGCACAUCUUCUCCUGCCAAUUAUGCAUAUGUUGCUCUUCAUGGCUCCCCUUUGAUAUUGAGCGUACGGUAAGUGAAGAGACCGAAUACCUAGCCUGAACUUCUGUCAGAGGUGUGUUCUGUUCUUCUGAAUCUGUUAAACUUGAUGCUUUUGUGAAGUCAUAUUCUGAUUGCGGCAGUUGAAGCAUUUAUGUCUUCAUCCCUUAAGAAAACUUGAUCUGUUUUAGUCAUCUAUACUAUGUUUUCGUUCAGUUUCUGGCUGCGAAUAAUGAAAGUUAUAAUAAUCAAACUUUGAAAAAUCACAAAAUCCUCUCUUUCCAAUCAUAGUAUUACUGCAGUCGUUUGGUUGCAACUGCUGCAAACCUUUGCAUCGCCCUCGGAAGUGGUUUCACUGCUGUUAUCGUGAUCACGGUCUGUUCACAUUGGUGUGACACCAACAUAUGACGCAUAAUUGAAAUGCAUUUGUUUUUUUUUUUGGUGCGAAUGAGACACAAUUAUUAAAUCGCGUACGUGAUGCCAAACGUAAAGAAUAAAAGUUACGGGCACAAAGGAAAUAAUCAAAUAACCUAUUCAAUUCGAUUGAGAUGUGAAAUGCUGCCAAAGAAUGAGAUAGAGUACAGUUCGAUUGAAUCCAUAGAAAAACUUGUCUCCUUGUGCAUCUAUACCUUUGGAGAUCUUGGGUGAUGGUUCCUGGGACGCAAUUUUCAUAAUAUCUUUGAUAUAAAUUCCUUAAGGACAUGUUACUUUUUGGAAAAUUUCUCAUCUACAGAGCCACCUAGUCGUUGCAUGGCUGUGACUGGUUGGCUGCACCUUGCACAUCUGAAAGAUGGAGCUGCAACACACCGUGUUCUAAGGCAGUAAUAACUAAUAACAGUAUCUGCAAAACAAAUGAGGGAACUAACAUCAGAUAGUGUGGCUAAUAAAUAAGCUCAUUGGAAUAAGAGGUAGUUCCUAAAGCAAUUUUAAUAUUCGUGCUAAAUGCUGGCUGAAUCAUGAGGGUAUGUCAGUUAAAAAAUCAGGUGACAUUUUCCAAAGUAUCUCCUCUAUAUUUCCUAUCUCAGAAGAACCUUUUCUUUCUAAUACUUAGAAACCUUUUCUUUCUAAAACUUAGAAACUUGUACUGGUUGUAGCUCCUACAUGACUGUUUUCAGUUUUCACUACUACCUAGUGAUCCUUACACAACCUCAAGUCAUGAUAUUUUACAAGUAUUUGGAAUUACUUACAUUUGACCUCAAAGUGUGAAGUGUGUGUUUAGCAACCAGUGUAAAACAACCAUUUUCAGUUGGCUUGGCUCUCCAACAGUAGGACCACUAUAGCUCCUCUGAUACAGCAGUGGGUCAAUAGGCAUUGUAUAAGCUAGUUCAAGAAGACAACUGCUGCUUGAUUAUUGUUGUUGUUGCUGCUGUAUUUUUUGUUGUUGGUUGCUGCACUUGUGUGAAUGUUCUAACCGCCACAUUUUGUAUCUUUUACUUGAUGCAGGAACACCCUAGGUACCGUGAAUAAUAAUCAAAUUAUGAAACGUGGAUACUAGUUAUGGGAGGAAAGAUAGGAAAAGAGAGCAUGGGACAAACAUGAGUUUUUGUCUUGUGGUUCGCAGCAAGGAAAUGAACGCUUUAAAUCUAAAGGUUUUCAAAACUCCAAUGGAGGGGCCCUUUACCGAAGAGGAGUUGGAUGAAGUUCGAGACAAGUGGGCUAUUUACUUCAACGAUUGUGAACUACCCUCAGUGUAUUAAAUAGAGCAGGCUUAUAGUUGUUCGUGACUCUUACAUUAUUUUGUUAUUUAUCGAUUUAAUUAAUUACAUUUGAAUUAAUUCGGUAAUAUUAUUGGAAAUUUGAAAUUUAUAUCAUUUUUGAUAAUGUCAA